RNAcentral lists this transfer RNA (61 nucleotides) under Dagualachesilloides caliensis. Its description in RNAcentral is "tRNA-His". Lineage: Eukaryota; Metazoa; Arthropoda; Insecta; Psocodea; Sphaeropsocidae. The record is from RNAcentral.
AUCUAAAUAGUUUAUACAAAAUAUAAAUUUGUGGAAUUUAAGAAAUAUUUUAUUUUAGGUA